CAUUACUGAGUUUACGCUCUAUAACCCUUUGUGAACAUACCUAUAACUGUUGCUUCGGCGGGUAGGGUCUCCGCGACCCUCCCGGCCUCCCGCCUCCGGGCGGGUCGGCGCCCGCCGGAGGAUAACCAAACUCUGAUUUAACGACGUUUCUUCUGAGUGGUACAAGCAAAUAAUCAAAACUUUUAACAACGGAUCUCUUGGUUCUGGCAUCGAUGAAGAACGCAGCGAAAUGCGAUAAGUAAUGUGAAUUGCAGAAUUCAGUGAAUCAUCGAAUCUUUGAACGCACAUUGCGCCCGCCAGCAUUCUGGCGGGCAUGCCUGUUCGAGCGUCAUUUCAACCCUCAAGCUCUGCUUGGUGUUGGGGCCCUACAGCUGAUGUAGGCCCUCAAAGGUAGUGGCGGACCCUCCCGGAGCCUCCUUUGCGUAGUAACUUUACGUCUCGCACUGGGAUCCGGAGGGACUCUUGCCGUAAAACCCCCCAAUUUUCCAAAGGUUGACCUCGGAUCAGGUAGGAAUACCCGCUGAACUUAAGCAUAUCAAUAAGCGGAGGAAAAGAAACCAACAGGGAUUGCCUCAGUAACGGCGAGUGAAGCGGCAAC
This 598-nucleotide ribosomal RNA is filed under the name fungal endophyte. RNAcentral describes it as "eukaryotic LSU rRNA". The stretch from base 178 to 331 matches the Rfam family "5.8S ribosomal RNA". Lineage: Eukaryota; Fungi. The record is from RNAcentral.